This 73-nucleotide transfer RNA is filed under the name Daphnia magna. RNAcentral describes it as "tRNA-Arg". It matches the Rfam family "tRNA". From Rfam's summary of the family: Transfer RNA (tRNA) molecules are approximately 80 nucleotides in length. Their secondary structure includes four short double-helical elements and three loops (D, anti-codon, and T loops). Lineage: Eukaryota; Metazoa; Arthropoda; Branchiopoda; Diplostraca; Daphniidae. The record is from RNAcentral.
GGUCGUGUGGCCUAAUGGAUAAGGCGUCGGACUUCGGAUCCGAAGAUUGCAGGUUCGAGUCCUGCUAAGAUCA